UUAAACGCAAUAGCUUUUAUGCUCUUCUUAUAUACAUUCAUUUAGCACCAACAAGAUGGCAACGUCGUACCUGUUAGACCAUAAGCGCUUUUGGGCAAAGGCGAAGCCACUGAAGACAAGAAUUCUAGAAGGAAGUGAAGUUAUUCAGCAGAGCGACUAUCUAAAGGAUUUUCUGCUUCUAAUUCAGUCAGAUGGGUUAGAGGCGGCUUUUGAGGAAUAUGGUCAUGAUGAACCUCGCCCUCCUCCUCCAGAAAGUGCCUCUCGUAAAGUACCAGAAGAUGUCACGUAUGAUUAUGACGUCAUUGUUGUUGGGGCAGGUAUGGCAGGUCUCUCUGCAGCGUAUGAGUUAAAGAAGGCUGGGCUUUCAGUAAAAAUUCUGGAGCAAACUGGCCGUUUUGGUGGAAGGGUGUUCAGUUACGGCUCGAAUGAAGGUUUGGCAGAGGGUUUAUAUGGAG
Molecule: non-coding RNA, 455 nt
Organism: Paramuricea clavata
Lineage: Eukaryota; Metazoa; Cnidaria; Anthozoa; Malacalcyonacea; Plexauridae
Source: the annotation of a GenBank genome assembly